RNAcentral lists this ribosomal RNA (459 nucleotides) under uncultured bacterium. RNAcentral describes it as "partial 16S ribosomal RNA". It matches the Rfam family "Bacterial small subunit ribosomal RNA", at positions 338 to 795 of the family's 1533-position model. The record is from RNAcentral.
CCUACGGGGUGCAGCAGUGAGGAAUAUUGGUCAAUGGACGCAAGUCUGAACCAGCCAUGCCGCGUGCAGGAUGACGGCCCUACGGGUUGUAAACUGCUUUUGUCAAGGGACAAAAUCAGGCUCGAGAGCCUGACCGAGGGUACUUGAAGAAAAAGCAUCGGCUAACUCCGUGCCAGCAGCCGCGGUAAUACGGGGGAUGCGAGCGUUAUCCGGAUUUAGUGGGGUUAAAGGGUGCGUAGGCGGGCUGUUAAGUCAGCGGUAAAAGCCCGGGGCUCAACCCCGGCGAGCCGUUGAAACUGGGUGUCUUGAGAUGUCGAGAGGUAAGCGGAAUGCGCAGGGUAGCGGUGAAAUGCUGAGAUAUUGCGCAGAACUCCGAUUGCGAAGGCAGCAUACCGGCGGCGAUCUGACGCUGAGGCACGAAAGCGUGGGUAUCGAACAGGAUUAGAUACCCUAGUAGUC